This 374-nucleotide ribosomal RNA is filed under the name uncultured bacterium. Its description in RNAcentral is "bacterial SSU rRNA". It matches the Rfam family "Bacterial small subunit ribosomal RNA", at positions 524 to 896 of the family's 1533-position model. The record is from RNAcentral.
UACGAGGGGUGCAAGCGUUAUUCGGAAUUAUUGGGCGUAAAGGGUGCGUAGACGGUUUGUUAAGUCGAUUGUUUAAUUCUCCGGCCUAACCGGAGGCUCACAGUUGAAACUGAUAAACUAGAGGGUGGAAGAGAGAAGUGGAAUUCUCGGAGUAGCGGUAAAAUGCGUAGAUCUCGAGAGGAACACCGAUGGCGAAGGCAGCUUCUUGGUCCAUACCUGACGUUGAUGCACGAAAGCGUGGGGAGCAAACAGGAUUAGAUACCCUGGUAGUCCACGCUGUAAACGAUGAUCACUAGACGUCAGUUCUGCUUGCAGAAUUGGUGUCGUAGCUAACGCGUUAAGUGAUCCGCCUGGGGAGUACGGUCGCAAGAUUA